Molecule: ribosomal RNA, 626 nt
Filed under: uncultured bacterium
Lineage: Bacteria
Description: bacterial SSU rRNA
Rfam family: Bacterial small subunit ribosomal RNA
Source: RNAcentral
GACGAACGCUUGCGGCGUGCCUAAGAAAUGCAAGUCGAGCGAGAACGAGCCUUCGGGUGAAGUUCUAGCGGCGAACGGUCGCGUAACACGUAAGCAACCUGCCCCAGAGUGGGGGAUAGCCCGCCGAAAGGCGGAUUAAUACCGCAUGUGGAUCAUGGCUCGCAUGUGUUGUGAUCUAAAGCAGCGAUGCGCUCUGGGAUGGGCUUGCGGCCUAUCAGCUAGUUGGUGUGGGUAACGGCCCACCAAGGCGACGACGGGUAGCUGGUCUGAGAGGAUGGUCAGCCGGACUGGGACUGAGACACGGCCCAGACUCCUACGGGGGGCAGCAAUUAGGAAUCUUGCGCAAUGGGCGAAAGCCUGACGCAGCGACGACGCGUGACUGAUGAAGUCUUUCGGGAUGUAAAGGUCUUUUGCAGGGGAAGAAGGAUGUGACGGUACCCUGCGAAUAAGCCCCGGCUAACUACGUGCCAGCAGCCGCGGUAAUACGUAGGGGGCGAGCGUUGUCCGAAUUUACUGGGCGUAAAGCGCGCGUAGGCGGACUUUUAAGUUGUGGGUGAAAUGCCGAGGCUCAACCUCGGAACUGCCUGCAAAACUGGGAGUCUUGAGGUAUGGAGAGGGAAGUGGAA